UGGAGUGCUACAACCUCUGACUUGGGGAUUCUAUACUGCCAUAUGUGAGCAAAAGUUAAUGCGCUGGGACAAAGAAGUCAAAGGAACAUGGGAGGGCAGAUCCAGGCCAGACCACCUUCCCAUACAAAGGAAGGGCAGCCCAUCAGCCCGCCAUCAUUGAUGACAUCACCAUCACUCAUAGCGGCAGCACAGUGAAGUCUAUCUUGGACCCUUUAGAUCAUUAAUUGUUAUGAAAAGCUGUGAUGUUUGUAAUCUAGCAUCCAUUUUACAGACGGGGAGACAAAAUCCCAGAGAUGUUAAAAAAAAUCUCAGCCAAGGUCACAAAAGAUUUUAACCCAGUGGUCAAAUACUUUCUGCCUUUCUGCUCAACCAGGCUGCUUCUUUUGAGACAACACACACACACACACACACACACACACAUGCAUGCAGUCAAACACACAAUUCCCUGCACAAGAACACACUCACAGAGAGGAAUGCCUCUGAGCAUCUGCCUCAUUUUUCCUCUGCCCUCCUCGUGUCCUCCGGUCUGUUUGUUGCGCUAUCUCUGUGUCAAACUACCACAGGCUGCCUAGUUCUAACUCUCCUCCAAGUUUUCCAAAGAAGCCCCACCCACCAGCCUAAGCUUUACAAUUUCCAGGGAGAUACGCUGGAGAUGCCACCAGCUCCAGCCUCAAAGGAGUCUUUCACCCCAUUUGAUUUGCAGGGGAUGUCAAGCAGAAACUUCAAAAUGCACAAAGGGCUAGAAGACUCUGGUAUUUUCUAAACACAGAUGAAUCCAUGAAGACCACCUAAGGAGGAGGAUGAGUGGAGAAGCCAUGUUCAAGGCCCCAGUGUCAAGAUUCUCUAUCACUCGAUUUGUGGACACCCCACACAGCUCAAGUCCCCAAGAAGUACCAAGGCCCAGAGCCUCCCUGCAGGCUCUCUUGGGUCACUGGGAAGCAAGUAGGGGAUGAUUCUUCACCUUGAGAAGGCCUCAAACAGCUUCCCAACUGUGCGGCCUGUGGCUGGACUCAGCCUCGAGAGCAGUCCACUUGACAUGUUUCCAGGUCCCCAAGCAACAAGAUGACUGAACAGAGCUGCUCAGCUCCUGGGAGCUCUCCAGGGGCCUCCUGAAGGCAGCAUCCAGGUGUGAGCUCUAGAUACAGGUCAUCGGGUUUGAACUGGGAGUAGCCUGGAGAGGUGGCCCAGGGCCAAGGUCCCAGGUCUCUGGCCUUCAUUUCUCCUUGCUCCUUCUCAGACAUGAUCGUUGCCCUUCAACAAGAGAGUCGAGUCUACUCACAGAGACAAAGCUAAGUUCAAAUAUCAGCGCCACGCUCUCUAACUGUGUGACCUUGGGCAAGUUGAUUUAUUAGAAGGGCUUCAUGCGUCUCUGUUUUGUUCACUGUUCUAUUCCUAGAGCCAAAAACAUAGUGGCAGAGGGUGGAAUCUAAAAGGCGC
Molecule: long non-coding RNA, 1437 nt
Filed under: Homo sapiens (human)
Lineage: Eukaryota; Metazoa; Chordata; Mammalia; Primates; Hominidae
Description: HSALNT0231521
Source: RNAcentral